Molecule: transfer RNA, 78 nt
Filed under: Lobianchia gemellarii
Lineage: Eukaryota; Metazoa; Chordata; Actinopteri; Myctophiformes; Myctophidae
Also listed under: 1 other name
Description: tRNA-Asp
Rfam family: tRNA (bases 1-69)
About the family: Transfer RNA (tRNA) molecules are approximately 80 nucleotides in length. Their secondary structure includes four short double-helical elements and three loops (D, anti-codon, and T loops).
Source: RNAcentral
GAGACACUAGUAAAGCAUUUACACUGCCUUGUCAAGGCAGAAUCGUGGGUUAAACCCCCACGUGUCUUGCCAAACCAC